This 651-nucleotide ribosomal RNA is filed under the name Mawia benovici. RNAcentral's name for it is "partial 28S ribosomal RNA". Lineage: Eukaryota; Metazoa; Cnidaria; Scyphozoa; Semaeostomeae; Pelagiidae. The record is from RNAcentral.
GGUCCCAAGCAGAUGCGCUCUUACUCAAACCUUUCUAAGAGUAGAAUAGGUCGGUCGAUGAUGCGCCUCGCACGCGUAGAACGAAGAUCUCACCUCAGCUGCUAGGCAGCCUUUACUUUCAUUGUGCCUUCGGGUUUCAGUCACCCCAAGACUUGCGCACAUGUUAGACUCCUUGGUCCGUGUUUCAAGACGGGUCAGAUGAAGCCAUAUGGCCGCCAACAACCGAGGUGCAUAGUGUGCGUUGGCCUCCCGAAUGACCUCGAGCAGUUCAGACGCACUGCAAGCAGUCCGCCAUGGUCGACACAAGAUCAAGAGAAGGUCGCCAGCCCCUCCGAAGAAGAGCAUGCACCGCUCGCCUCUGCCCCGUCCGAGCUAGUAUCGCCACAGGCUAUAACAGCACAUGCCGAAGCACGCGCCUACCUUCCUGGACGCCUUGUCACUCAGACAGAGCAGCUGUUGACGCGCCCCAACGAGAAGUGCGAUGAUCACAAGGUCAGGCCGAACAGCGACAGUCCAUGCGGAUCCAUACACUACACGUCUGACCAGGCGUCCACCUGAAUCUCGCUGAGGCAUUGCUAACUGCAUCCGUUUCCCCUCUAACGGUUUCACGCACUUUUUAACUCUCUUUUCAAAGUUCUUUUCAACUUUCCA